This is a non-coding RNA of Acanthosepion pharaonis, 113 nucleotides long. The record is from the annotation of a GenBank genome assembly. Lineage: Eukaryota; Metazoa; Mollusca; Cephalopoda; Sepiida; Sepiidae.
UAUGGCCACAUCACGUUGAAACACCGAUUCCUGUAUGAUCAUCAAAGUUAAGCAACAUUGGGUCUAGUUAGUAGCUAAAUGGGUAACCGCUUGGGAAUAUUACGUGCUGUAAG